GGAAACGCUGCCGGGGAGUAGGCGGGGCGGGCGCUUUGGUUCCGAGGAUGCUCCUGCCCUGACUGGUUUUCCCGCGGGCGUCUCUAGUCCGGACGACAGCCCCAAGGGCAGAGGUCUCAGAUGGGUGUUUUUCCAUGUGAGAAGACUCCAAGAUUCUUUGUUAGUCAUAAAUUUUUUCCCUCCGUUCUGCUGAAUAUCAACCUCAACUUUUUUUGCAUCAUGGGGCAUUAUCAUUUAACACUUUGAGUUCCUGGGGGUGGAAGUAAAGAAUACAAAAAUAUUUUUACAUUUUCAAAUUUAUUUUCCACUCCAAUCUAAAAAUAAAUUGAGAAAUUUUUGUGUUCAUCCU
Saimiri boliviensis boliviensis (Bolivian squirrel monkey) is the source of this 349-nucleotide long non-coding RNA. RefSeq lists it as uncharacterized. Lineage: Eukaryota; Metazoa; Chordata; Mammalia; Primates; Cebidae. The record is from RefSeq and is a predicted model, not a curated record.